This 849-nucleotide long non-coding RNA is filed under the name Homo sapiens (human). RNAcentral's name for it is "HSALNT0049075". The record is from RNAcentral. Lineage: Eukaryota; Metazoa; Chordata; Mammalia; Primates; Hominidae.
CAGACGGAGUCUCGCUCUGUCGCCCAGGCUGGAGUGCAGUGGUGCGAUCUCCAUUCACUGCAAACUCCGCCUCCCAGGUUCAAGUGAUUCACCUGCCUCAGCCUCCUGAGUAGCUGGGAUUACAGGCGCCUGCCAUCGCACCUGGCUAAUUUUUGUAUUUUUAGUAGAGACGGAGUUUCACCAUGUUGGCCAGGCUGGUCUUGAACUAUCGACCUCGUGAUCCACCCGCCUCAGCCACCAAAAGUGCUGGGAUUACAGGCAUGAGCCAUCGUGCCCGGCCGAAUUUUUUUUCUGAAUCAGAAAAGCACUGCCUCUUCUAUUGAUUUAUUCAGCUGGUUAAAUCUUGACUCCCAGAAAUCUUUGCUCAGAGGAAGUUUUUCAGUCCUCGGCUAUUAUUCUCUGUAUGGCUAUUGGGUUUACCCCUGGUGUAUCGUAUGCUCCCAAGGGUUUUAAAUGCUCCCCAGCAGCCAAUUGAACAUCAAAUGAUUGCCAUCCGGCUCAGACAACUUGAGGAAACCAACAACGACUAUGUAAUUGCUGGCAGUGAUGUGACUUUGAACCCAGCAUAUCUUUUGAUAAUGGUAACAUCUUCCUGACUCUUCAUCCCAGCAAGUGCAUCAAUAGUGCUAAGCAAGAGGAAAGCUGUGCGAUUUGGUCACACUCUGGGCUUGCUGAAGGAGUGACCGAAGUGGGAGAAAUGUUAAAAGAACAAAAUUAAAAUGAAGACUGAGGCCUGAAAAACUUCUGAGCAAACAAAAUCAGAAUAAGACACAGGACCCACAUGUCAAUCAAACUGACGAUCGUUUCCAUCAGGACCAUGCCAUGGGCGUUCCUCAAGGAAGGUGGAAG